RNAcentral lists this ribosomal RNA (433 nucleotides) under uncultured bacterium. Its description in RNAcentral is "partial 16S ribosomal RNA". It matches the Rfam family "Bacterial small subunit ribosomal RNA", at positions 29 to 507 of the family's 1533-position model. The record is from RNAcentral.
AAUGAACGCUGGCGGCAGGCCUAACACAUGCAAGUCGAGCGAAGUCUUCGGACUUAGCGGCGGACGGGUGAGUAACGCGUGGGAACAUGCCCUUUGGUGCGGAAUAGCCCCGGGAAACUGGGAGUAAUACCGCAUGUGCCCUUCGGGGGAAAGAUUUAUCGCCAAAGGAUUGGCCCGCGUUGGAUUAGGUAGUUGGUGGGGGAAUGGCCUACCAAGCCGACGAUCCAUAGCUGGUUUGAGAGGAUGAUCAGCCACACUGGGACUGAGACACGGCCCAGACUCCUACGGGAGGCAGCAGUGGGGAAUCUUAGACAAUGGGCGCAAGCCUGAUCUAGCCAUGCCGCGUGAUCGAUGAAGGCCUUAGGGUUGUAAAGAUCUUUCAGGGGGGAAGAUAAUGACGGUACCCACAGAAGAAGCCCCGGCUAACUCCGUG